UGGUUCCAGCAUCGAUGAAGAACGCAGCGAAAUGCGAUAAGUAAUGUGAAUUGCAGAAUUCAGUGAAUCAUCGAAUCUUUGAACGCACAUUGCGCUCCCUGGUAUUCCGGGGAGCAUGCCUGUUCGAGCGUCAUUAUCAACCAUCAAGCACUGCUUGGCAUUGGGGACCGUCCGAGCGGACGACCCCUAAAGACCUCGGCGUCGGUGUUCAACCUCAAGCGUAGUAGAAUCUCUAGCUUUCAGGUUAAGCGCCGUCUCGCCUCGCUUCCAACUCACGGUUGACCUCGGAUCAGGUAGGGAUACCCGCUGA
This 310-nucleotide unclassified non-coding RNA is filed under the name uncultured fungus. RNAcentral's name for it is "partial contains 5.8S ribosomal RNA and internal transcribed spacer 2". The stretch from base 1 to 133 matches the Rfam family "5.8S ribosomal RNA", at positions 22 to 154 of the family's 154-position model. Lineage: Eukaryota; Fungi. The record is from RNAcentral.